AUUUCCUGACCUCGUGAUCCGCCCACCUCGGCCUCCCAAAGUGCGGGCUGAGAGAUCUUACAGUGCGAGGGGGAAUCAGGCCCUGGGGAAAGUCUUCUCAGGGGUUGUCUCCUUCUGUCUUCUGUCUCUGCAGUAAAAUGCUGUUGAAGGCCCACGGGCAUGACUGCACCCCUCACUAAUUGGUCAUUGGUUUGGGGAGGACACCACUGUCCCAGUGGAACCUUGAGCACACCUUGGAGCCCUCCUCUUCCUCUCCGGACCUGCGCCAAACUAGCACCAUGGCCUGGCAAGAUCCGACGUUUUCCAAGGAUCCUGGCUGAGCUCCUGUGGAACCUGCUUCUUACACUGAUGUGGUCCCUCGGCUGGCAGGCCCUUCUGCGGCCAACCAGGUGACACCUGCCAGUUAUGAGGGACAGGUAGGAGAGGAUGGGCUUUCCAUUAAAAAAAAAAAAAAGGUAAGUUUUUCCAAACUGCUUUUCUUUCAAAUUUUAAUCUUAAGACUAACCUACAUUAAUUUCUUAUAUCUCAUAAAGUCCAGAAUUUCUGAUAAUUUCAGUUCUUUUCCAGAGUGCAAAGAAGCAUUGGCUCUUCAGGUAUUAUGUUUAACAUUUUGCAGGAAUUGCUUUACUCUAUAGACAAAUAAACUACAAAUUUGAGACUUAUUUCCUGUGUCAGUAAAUGUGAACGCUUUGACUAAUUUCUCAAGUGUGUUGUUUUGACAGUGAGGCAGAUAGCCUGCUGUUUUGGGUCAAACCUACGUAAAUGUACAUGACCCCAGCAAGUACCACUGAAGACAUUUUGGGAUAUUUUCUCUAAAUUGAUCUUAUCUCAUUUACCAGUUGGAUGUGCUCUUGCUUUUUCUGCUCCUCUACUCAUUUCUAGUCUCCUUUUUUAAUUCUUUAAAAAAUCUUUUUGCCUCAAUUUUUUUGUUGCCCCUAAGGGCAUUGUGUUGGACUGCUGAUGCCAUUUACCAUUAAUAACUUUCUGGUCUCUGAACUAAAAAAAUAAACUUUUUUUUCUUUAGAGAUUCUAGAUUCAGCAGAGGAAUUCACAGCAAGAGUUGAUGUAGAAGUUGACAACCAAGGCCAGGCACGGUGGCUCACGCCUGUAAUCCCAGCACUUUGGGAGGCCGAGGUGGGUGGAUCACGAGGUCAGAAGAUGGAGACCAUCCUGGCUAACAUGGUGAAACCCCGUCUCUACUGAAAAUACAAAAAUUAGCCAGGCGUGGUGGUGGCGCCUGUAGUCCCAGCUACUCAGGAGGCUGAGGCAGGAGAAUGGCGUGAACCUGGGAGGCAGAGCUUGCAGUGAGCCGAGAUCGCGCCACUGCACUCCAGCCUGGGCAAGAGAGCGAGACUCUGUCUCAAACAAACAAACAAAAGAAGUUGAGAACCAAAACCCUCCACCAGUUCUUAGAAGCGAUCUCCAAGCAAGAGCAGGAAGAGCAGGGAUCCACACUCUGGAGGACUUACAGGUGCCCUCAGUCCUCCCCUCUGCCAUCAUUGUCUUGCAUUCAGGAUGAUUCCUCUUUAAAGGUGACAGUUUGUUUAAAUGUCUGUGUUGCCCCAUCUUCUAGAUGAUGCAGUUUUGUCCAUCACAGAUUCAUCCACGAAGGAGCAUUUACCUUUGAGAAACGCUGGGGACAUUGAAGUUUACUUAGAUAUCAAUGCAUGAGUUUCUGUCAGAGCACCAUAAAGUCAUGUUUCCUGAGACUGUGAGGGGUCUCUGUCAUCUGAGGGCCCCGCUGCUGCCUGCCUGCCAGCGUGCCCGAGGAUCAGAUGACGGAAUUGAUCAGAGUUUUUAAAAUCUAGGUGUUCCACUUGUGUGAAAUAUAUGCUAUGGUGCUCCAAGUUGAGUCCACUGUCUUGAACAUGAACAUCAAGUUGUAGACUGCUUCCUGAAAUGUGCAUGUCAUCCUGAGACCUGAGGGUGAACAGCAGGGGGCUAGUGAGUGCAAAUUGAGGGUAGGGUGGGUGAGAGAUAAGGUUUGUUAUGGAAGAAUAAGAAGGAAAAAAAUACGUUUUCUGAGAAAACAGGACAAGUUGAGACUGUGAUGGACCAGAAGGAUGCGACAAAUAACCUGUCCUGGUAAAUGAGAAAGGCACCUAAGGCAGGAGUCACUGAGGGACAGCUCCGUUUCUGUAAGUAACCAUUUAGUUACGGUUAAGUCAGUAUUUAAGUUCCACAACCAGGAAGUCACUUUUCAGUGGUUCCAGAGAAUCUAUGCCCUAAAACUGGAGAAGAACAUGAGGUGAUAGUUUCAUUGUCUCCAGAGGGUCCCCAAGCCUGCAAGGAAAGGUAACAGAACAAUGUUUAUAACAAAUUUCUUACUCUUGUCACCCAGGCUGGAGUGCAGAGGCGGGGCAAGAGUGAGCCUCCAUCUCGAAAAAAAAAAAAGAAAAAAAAACAAAAAAGAAAGAAAAAUAAUUUGUUGACCUCCUGGGUUACACCCAAUAAAGAAUAGAAGAGUUUGCCGGGCGCGGUGGCUCACGCCUGUAAUCCCAGCACUCUGGGAGGCCGAGGCGGGCGGAUCACGAGGUCAGGAGAUCCAGACCAUCCUGGUCAACACGGUGAAACCCCGUCUCUACUAAAAAUACAAAAAUUAGCUGGGCGUGGUGGCGUGCGCCUGUAAUCUUCUCAGACACCCAACCACCGGCUCCUCAGCCGGGGCAACUCCCUGUAAGAUGACGGCACCUUUCACGGCCCCCCACCCUGCCCCAAAUCCCCGAUCCAGCCCCAAAUCCCCGAUCCAAACCCCAACCCGCAAUCCCAAAUCUGCGAUCUAGCCCAGAAUCCGCGAUCCAGCCGGGUCCACCACAGCCUUCAGCAGCGAUACUCGCAGCCUCUGACCUCUCAGACCCAGUGAGCCUCACCAGGGCAUUAGCAGCGCGUAACUUGUGGGGAAGGGGCAGGUGAAGCCAACUGUCAGCAUUACUCACCUUUUCAACUGAUGAGCUUGCAUCAAUUUUGGCAGUUUCUCAUAAAAAGGCAAUUUUCACUCCUUGGGUGAUCACCCAGGUCCUGCAAAACUGAGCCACCAACCACCACCUGCACCACUUCCCAUGAGGCCAAAU
Long non-coding RNA from Pan paniscus (pygmy chimpanzee), 3071 nucleotides. Lineage: Eukaryota; Metazoa; Chordata; Mammalia; Primates; Hominidae. The record is from Ensembl.